UGCUGAUAAAUACUACCAAAUCUACUUCAUUAUCGUUUUAUCUGCAGUGCUGUAACAAGUCUUGCAUUAACUUGAUGAAUAGUUGAUUUUGAUUUUCAACUAAAAAGGAUAUAUAUUGACUCUAGUGGUGACAAGAUUUACAAAGUUCUUCUAAUUUGACUUAAAUUAGAAUCUCAAAUUUAUCUUAUAUAACAGAUCAUUCAGUGCACGCGAAAGAGACAUUAUGACGGAACCUACUUUUAAUUGUUAUAAGUGUGUCGGAAAUGAGUGCAAUCUACCACAGAAAGAAAUGCCAAUUUGCAAUACUACAAUUAACUGCUGGAAGUCUGUGGCUCGAAAAUAUAAACAUAUGUAUCGAUAUUAUUAUGGAUGCAUCUCAACAAUGGCAGAAAACGAAAAUAUUUGCAAUAAUGCGACAAAGAAAGAUAAUACUAAAUGCUGUACAGGAGAUUUAUGCAACGACAAUAACUUUCAAGUACAGUAUGAUCAUCUUGGUGAUCGCACCUGGGUGUAUGUAAUGGAUAUUGUUCUAAUAAUAGUAUUAAUAAUUUGCAUUUACUUUACUAUAUACUACAUGAGAAAAUUGACUACGCAUAAUAUUACCAACCUGCGCAGACGUUAUGAACCAGAGUUAGAAAUGCUGCGAAGAAGAACGACUGAUGCACCUUCAGAAAGUCGCGAAGAUAGGAAUGACCAGGCUACCUCUCAAGUAUAGUUCAGCUUAUUAUACAAAGUAUCGAAUCCUUUAUUAACGAAACGCCCCAACGGCCUUACCGAAGCAAGGCGUCUUUUCAAAGCAUAUUUCAUUUGUCAUUCGGUACUUUAAGUAAUUAAUGAACCAAUUGUAUGAUUUCAACUUUCACAAGGAAAUGGAAAUUUAGAGAGUUGUCAAUAAACCGCCAUCUACGAGUUGAGCCUUCACAAUGUGAUUCCUUUUUCUAAGUAGCAAUCCAAUUAAACGAGAGCCGACAACCAAGGAACUGCGUUAAAUAAUCGAAGGCUUGAAAUUCUCGAUGAUUUGCACACUACUUAUCCGACAUGUUGAAAAAAACAAUCUUAUUGUAGCAUUCAACUGUGCAAUUUAAAUGACGUUUGAAUUUUCAAAUAAUGAAUUAGUUGGGAUCUUAAAUUCAGGACUGACGGAUCACGAAAGCGAUCAUAUUUUUUUCAUUCAAUAAAUGUACACGAUAUUGUAACUGGUAAUUCAAUCGAUACAGUUGGUGAUUCCAACUGGGCGCAUGUAGUACCGGGUGUUGCUCUAGCAGCAGCGUUCAUAAUUUACAACUACAUUGCCAUACUUUACAUUGGAAUGUUGAGUACAGGUAAUUAUCUACAGGCGCAGGAAUUAUCCACAGAAUCAAGAAAUACCGAGCGUUAGCCAAUUUGACAAAUUAAUAAGACACUUUCUUAUUAAUUUUAAACGAUUUUUAAACGUACUGCAAUGAUCGAAAACUAAUUGACCAUACUGUAACUUGCGUAUAUCUCUUAAUGUUAAAUCAUCAGUGAUUUUUCAACAUUUGGUUUGUAUCUAUAUUCCUUGUAUGACUGUUGUUACGCGCAGUAAAAAGAUUACUGCGCGUUUAAGGAAAUUGAAAUUAUAAAAUAUCAUAAAUAAAAUUUAUUACUUAUAAGGUUUCGUUCGUACACCAUUUUUAUGCAUUUUUUCGUUUUAGCCUACUUAUUUUGAACGACUUAUAUGCGUCAUUAAUUUCACCAACGAGACUUAGAAUGUCAAUCGUAACAAAUGUCAAGUGGUUAUAUAUUGAUUUUGUAUAAUUAUAUUGUAAUAGGGUCAAUUUUUUUUAAAUUAAAGGUCAAAGUCUCUACUUUAAGAUGGUGGAGCUCUAUUUUUGAUUUGACCAAACUUCUACAUACGUGACUUUGAAAUUCAAGGUCAUUUUUUAAAGUUCAAAAAUCGUAAACUCUCGCAGUGCAUUCGCGCGUGGGUGAUUUCUUUUGAUAAUUCUGAUCAUUGCA
This is a long non-coding RNA of Phymastichus coffea, 1977 nucleotides long. RefSeq lists it as uncharacterized. The record is from RefSeq and is a predicted model, not a curated record. NCBI's taxonomy places the organism in Eukaryota, Metazoa, Arthropoda, Insecta, Hymenoptera, Eulophidae. The transcript is spliced from 5 exons.